Molecule: ribosomal RNA, 253 nt
Filed under: uncultured bacterium
Lineage: Bacteria
Description: partial 16S ribosomal RNA
Rfam family: Bacterial small subunit ribosomal RNA
Source: RNAcentral
GACGAAGGAUGCAAGCGUUAUCCGGAUUCAUUGGGUUUAAAGGGUCCGUAGGCGGUUUAAUAAGUCAGUGGUGAAAUCUGGUCGCUUAACGAUCAAACGGCCAUUGAUACUGUUAGACUUGAAUUACUGGGAAGUAACUAGAAUAUGUAGUGUAGCGGUGAAAUGCUUAGAUAUUACAUGGAAUACCAAUUGCGAAGGCAGGUUACUACCAGUGGAUUGACGCUGAUGGACGAAAGCGUGGGGAGCGAACAGG